Bos taurus (domestic cattle) is the source of this 833-nucleotide long non-coding RNA. The record is from Ensembl. Lineage: Eukaryota; Metazoa; Chordata; Mammalia; Artiodactyla; Bovidae.
UCCUUAAACCUGUUUAUCCCCUUUGCUUGUUAGCUCUUCAGUUCCCAGAGAGCAGGGACUCCUGGGAAACAGGAAGUAGCAAAGGCCUGUGAGAAAAUCCCCAGAUGAAAAUCAGCAGUAAAUCUCUCCCAGCAACACUUUGGUCAGAAGAGGGAAAUUCCCCACCAGCCCUCAAAAACAGUCCCUCAAGAAAGCUUAGAGAAGGUUAAUUUGGGAAAUCCCCUCAGAAGCAACAGAACAGAAACGGAAAUCUGCUUCUUAAGAGAAAUCUGAAAAGAGAAUGUUGGCCUCUAGGGAGAAAUGCAGAGCAAGUAUCAAGUGAGUACACUCCAACUAGAAAGGAUGCUAUUUGUCUUUCAAGAUGAGGAGUUGGGAAGAGGGAUACCAUUUGUGAGUUCCCAGGAGUAAAGCCACAUCAAAAGUGAAAGUGAAGUCACUCAGUCCUGUCUGACUCUUUGCGACCUCAUGGACUGUAGCCUACCAGCUCCUCCGUCCAUGGGAUUUUCCAAGCAAGAAUACUGGAGUGGACUGCCAUUUCCUUCUCCAGGAGAUCUUCCAGACCCAGGGACUGAACUCGGGUCUCCCGCAUUAUAGGCAGACGCUUUACAGUCUGAGCCACCAGGGAUGUCCGAGGAAGCCACAUCAAGGAAAAUCUAUUUCCCACAAAAUAGGAGUUUCUAAUGAAACUUUUAUUUUUGUGUAUACUUAAUAAACUGUGAAGAUCUAAAUAGCACCUAUAUUUUCUUAGAGUCUUUAAAAACACUGACUUCUUCACAUUCUACCUGAAAUGUUCAUGUGCUAAUGAGUGAAACCAUCAUCGCAGAGUGAAAGUU